GAUGAACGCGGGCGGCGUGCCUAAUACAUGCAAGUCGAGCGAACAGACGAGGAGCUUGCUCCUCUGACGUUAGCGGCGGACGGGUGAGUAACACGUGGAUAACCUACCUAUAAGACUGGGAUAACUUCGGGAAACCGGAGCUAAUACCGGAUAAUAUAUUGAACCGCAUGGUUCAAUAGUGAAAGACGGUUUUGCUGUCACUUAUAGAUGGAUCCGCGCCGCAUUAGCUAGUUGGUAAGGUAACGGCUUACCAAGGCAACGAUGCGUAGCCGACCUGAGAGGGUGAUCGGCCACACUGGAACUGAGACACGGUCCAGACUCCUACGGGAGGCAGCAGUAGGGAAUCUUCCGCAAUGGGCGAAAGCUUGACGGAGCAACGCCGCGUGAGUGAUGAAGGUCUUCGGAUCGUAAAACUCUGUUAUUAGGGAAGAACAAAUGUGUAAGUAACUAUGCACGUCUUGACGGUACCUAAUCAGAAAGCCACGGCUAACUACGUG
Molecule: ribosomal RNA, 497 nt
Filed under: uncultured bacterium
Lineage: Bacteria
Description: partial 16S ribosomal RNA
Rfam family: Bacterial small subunit ribosomal RNA
Source: RNAcentral